This 679-nucleotide ribosomal RNA is filed under the name uncultured Methanoregula sp. RNAcentral describes it as "bacterial SSU rRNA". It matches the Rfam family "Archaeal small subunit ribosomal RNA", at positions 83 to 770 of the family's 1478-position model. Lineage: Archaea; Methanobacteriati; Methanobacteriota; Methanomicrobia; Methanomicrobiales; Methanoregulaceae. The record is from RNAcentral.
CGGCUCAGUAACACGUGGACAAUCUACCCUAAGGUGGGGGAUAACCCCGGGAAACUGGGGAUAAUACCCCAUAGACUAUGGAUGCUGGAAUGCUCUGUAGUUCAAAGGUCAGCCGCCUUAGGAUGGGUCUGCGGCCGAUUAGGUAGUUGUUGGGGUAACGGCCCAACAAGCCUGUAAUCGGUACGGGUUGUGGGAGCAAGAGCCCGGAGAUGGAUUCUGAGACACGAAUCCAGGCCCUACGGGGCGCAGCAGGCGCGAAAACUUUACAAUGCGGGAAACCGUGAUAAGGGAACUCCGAGUGCCCGUUAAAUCGGGCUGUCCAUCUGUUUAAAAAACAGGUGAAGAAAGGGCCGGGCAAGACCGGUGCCAGCCGCCGCGGUAAUACCGGCGGCUCGAGUGGUGGCCACUAUUACUGGGCUUAAAGCGUUCGUAGCUGGUUUGUUAAGUCUCUGGGGAAAUCUUCCGGCUUAACCGGAAGGCGUCUCAGGGAUACUGGCAGACUAGGGACCGGAAGAGGUGAGGGGUACUCCAGGGGUAGGAGUGAAAUCCUGUAAUCCUUGGGGGACCACCUGUGGCGAAGGCGCCUCACCAGGACGGCUCCGACAGUGAGGGACGAAAGCGGGGGGAGCAAACCGGAUUAGAUACCCGGGUAGUCCCAGCCGUAAACGAUGUGCGUUAG